This 380-nucleotide ribosomal RNA is filed under the name uncultured eukaryote. RNAcentral describes it as "partial 18S ribosomal RNA". It matches the Rfam family "Eukaryotic small subunit ribosomal RNA", at positions 592 to 976 of the family's 1831-position model. The record is from RNAcentral.
CAAUAGCGUAUAUUAAAGUUGUUGCAGUUAAAAAGCUCGUAGUUGGAUUUGUGGCGUACGGUGGGUUCCGGGCACUUGUUGUCUGAGUAACUUGCUGUUGCCAUCCUUGGGUGGAACCUGUGUGGCAUUAGGUUGUCGUGCAGGGGAUGCCCAUCAUUUACUGUGAAAAAAUUAGAGUGUUCAAAGCAGGCUUAUGCCGUUGAAUAUAUUAGCAUGGAAUAAUGAGAUAGGACUUUUUUGCUAUUUUGUUGGUUUGCGCAAAGAGGUAAUGAUUAAUAGGGACAGUUGGGGGUAUUCGUAUUCCAUUGUCAGAGGUGAAAUUCUUGGAUUUUUGGAAGACGAACUACUGCGAAAGCAUUUACCAGGGAUGUUUUCAUUAA